UACGUAGGGGGCAAGCGUUGUCCGGAUUCAUUGGGCGUAAAGAGCGUGUAGGCGGCCAGGUAGGUCGGUUGUGAAAACUGGAGGCUCAACCUUUAGAGGUCGACCGAAACCAUCUGGCUAGAGUCCGGGAGAGGAGAGUGGAAUUCCUGGUGUAGCGGUGAAAUGCGCAGAUAUCAGGAAGAACACCCGUGGCGAAAGCGGCUCUCUGGAACGGUACUGACGCUGAGACGCGAAAGCGUGGGGAGCGAACAGG
This 253-nucleotide ribosomal RNA is filed under the name uncultured bacterium. RNAcentral's name for it is "partial 16S ribosomal RNA". It matches the Rfam family "Bacterial small subunit ribosomal RNA", at positions 524 to 776 of the family's 1533-position model. The record is from RNAcentral.